AUAUGGAGAACUUUGGUGGUGGGGGGGAGACAAUGUAGUUCACAUUCGUGUUAUCUAAAAAAUACUGAAAAGCAGCCCUCUUCGGUCUCCCUGCGGGUCACUUUAAAUUACGAAUUUGGCCACGCACGACACCCGAGUAACCGCUUCCACUCGCCAAUGCAGGCAAAGGUCGGCCCUAAGCUUCCCUUCGUACCGGCUGAACUGCGCCGCGCAGAUACCACAAGUUAGGAGAAGGUGAGAGACGGGAGCAAAGCGACACACGUUCUAGACAAAUUACCGAAAUCGCGCAGGAAUUAUAGCAAACUCUGCCAACUUUACCUUGGGGACAAGACAGCUUGUAAAGCUCCCUUAUUAUACUUGUGUCUAAUACGAUUAAAAACACGAUGGCUAAGACCUAUUUUAGCUAAAAAAACGACCUCCUCGACCACUCCGGGGCCCCGGCCGGGAGGUCACCAGGCGACAGGAGAGUUGAACACCGGUCCCCGCAGCGACCCCGCCGACGCAAGCCUAGAGAAGGCCUGAAGGGACUAGUUGGCGCGCACCAGCCGGGCGUGGUGACGUCAGGGCGGAAGCGCACGCUGCGUGAAGCGGCCCAGAACCCGGCGGUCACGGGAAUAUCCGUCGCGCCGAGGACGCUGGUUAGUCUCGCUCCGGGUUCCGGCUGCGUUGGGCGUGCGUGCAGCUCGCUGAGACUAUGGCGUCCGGGCCUCACCCGACCGCGACCGCUGCCGCCGCCGCCUCGUCCGCCGCCCCGAGCGCGGGCGGCUCCAGCUCCGGGACGACAACCACGACGACGACCACGACAGGAGGGAUCCUGAUCGGCGACCGCCUCUACUCGGAAGUUUCGCUCACCAUCGACCACUCGCUGAUUCCGGAGGAGCGGCUUUCCCCUACCCCGUCCAUGCAGGACGGGCUCGACCUGCCCAGCGAGACCGAUUUGCGCAUCUUGGGCUGCGAGCUCAUCCAGGCCGCCGGCAUUCUCCUCCGGUUGCCGCAGGUGGCGAUGGCAACGGGGCAGGUGUUGUUUCAUCGUUUUUUCUACUCCAAGUCUUUCGUCAAACAUAGUUUCGAGAUUGUUGCCAUGGCUUGUAUUAAUCUUGCAUCCAAAAUUGAAGAAGCACCUAGAAGAAUAAGAGAUGUGAUUAAUGUAUUUCACCAUCUACGCCAGUUAAGAGGAAAAAGGACUCCAAGCCCCCUGAUCCUUGAUCAGAACUACAUUAACACCAAAAAUCAAGUUAUCAAGGCAGAGAGGAGGGUGCUAAAGGAGUUGGGAUUUUGUGUUCAUGUCAAGCAUCCCCAUAAGAUCAUUGUUAUGUAUUUACAAGUCUUAGAAUGUGAACGUAAUCAAACCCUGGUUCAGACUGCCUGGAAUUAUAUGAAUGACAGUCUUCGAACGAAUGUAUUUGUUCGAUUUCAACCAGAGACAAUAGCAUGUGCUUGUAUCUACCUUGCGGCUAGAGCCCUUCAGAUUCCAUUACCAACUCGUCCCCAUUGGUUUCUUCUUUUUGGUACUACGGAAGAAGAGAUCCAAGAAAUCUGCAUAGAAACACUUAGGCUUUAUACCAGAAAAAAGCCAAACUAUGAAUUGCUAGAAAAGGAAGUAGAGAAAAGAAAAGUAGCCUUACAGGAAGCCAAAUUAAAAGCAAAGGGAUUGAAUCCUGAUGGAACUCCAGCCCUUUCAACCCUUGGUGGAUUUUCUCCAGCCUCCAAACCAUCAUCACCAAGAGAAGUGAAGGCUGAAGAGAAGUCACCAAUAUCCGUUAAUGUGAAGACUGUCAAGAAAGAACCUGAGGACAGACAACAGGCUUCCAAAAGCCCUUACAAUGGUGUAAGAAAAGACAGCAAGAGAAGUAGAAAUAGCAGGAGUGCUAGUCGAUCAAGGUCAAGAACACGAUCACGUUCUAGAUCACAUACUCCAAGAAGACAGAAAAUUUCCAGUAGAAGUAGUACAAUACCCAUAUCUCAGCUCCAAAAGUGAUCAGUUCGUGGUCAGCCUACCUUGUUCAUACCUACCAAUUCACCAUUCUACUUUGCACGCUUAUUUGGAAGAAAAUCCCAGACAACUGAUUUCAUCCCCAACUAUUUCAGUCUAAAAGGGUUCUAGGUUCCUGGAGCUCAAAACGGGGACCAGAGACCUGUAAACAACAGCCAAGGAGUAGCAAACUGCACUGACGCCGCUGAAGCCAGCUGUCAGUUUGCAUCCGUCGGUGUGCUGACAGCGGUAUUUUUCUUGAAUCCUGCUCUUUUUGCUUGUUGGUGCUACCUGCCUGGUCUUUUUGCAGUGGACACCUGACGUCACAGAGGAUAAUCCAAGACCUACACAAAUCUCCACGUCUGUGAAAGUGGCCAUAUGCAUACUGUGCCCAACCUCUCUUUACUGGCUGACCAGUAUUCUAUGGCUAACCUUUUCAAACUGGAAUUUCUCCUUUGACGAGCUUUUGCAUUACUGGAGCACUUGUGGAAAAACUCCGCAAGUGGAUUCUUCCUGUUUUUAUACAGAGUAUUUGACACAUCAGAUCUUUGUCCACAGCACAAGGACAAGGCACAUCAUAAAUCUAAGCCACCAUGAGGUUCAAUAUUUUCCAACCUAAAUUACAAAACUAACUUCCUGCUCAAAAUGUUUUAUUUCCUUGGAUCUUCUCAAGCAAACCAAGUCUUAUUCAUUUAAUAAUUACUGCAACAUGGAUUAACAAUGUACAAUGACGUCAUGUUGAAACUGGUUAGUCCUGGCAGACGAUAUUUUCCACACAAAUGAAAUGAAGAGCAAAUUAAUUUUCGACUUACUUGAAAAUAGUCAAAUUAUAAAUGUCAGUUGUCGCCAUAAUUACACUUAACCUGAUGAGGGCUACCAUGAUAGGUUUCUACCUAGAGAAAUAAAGGCAGAGAAAGUCUCGAUGGCUAGAUAUGUGGCAAAUAUCUACAUAUAAUUAAUACUUGCUUGCAGGGUACUUGCUUUCCAGUUGGAGGCCAUUUUUUAAAAAGCCAAAUAACAUCCAAAGUAAUCCAAAUAAUAUCCAAAAUGAUCUUCAGUAUAGUUUAGGGCCAGGCAAGCAGUAUAAUGAGUGCUGAGUUUAAAGAAGGAAGAGGGACCCCUGUGGCCUAAAAGACCCUGGAAAGUUUUCACAGGGAACACGAAACAUGUGGGGUGCCUGGAAUGGGAAAGAAUUUGAAAGGCCAAGAAGGAAAGGCAAUGUAAUAUAGAGGUAGCGCGUAAGGGGGACUGUGGAGUGCAUGCCGGGGUGAACACCAGCCCUGUGUGGCCAGAGAAGGCAGGCAAUAGUGGACUUAAGGAGUCAGACUGCUGGCGGUCACUGUUUUUAUCUAAUUUUGUACACACUACUUAAUGUCUCCAAACUUCCAUUUCCCAUCUGAAGAGUGAGUCAUUGAGUCUGCUGUAUUCACAUAGUACGAGGGUUAAAAGACGUGAUGUAUGUAUGUGGUGCACUUAGCACAGUGUUAGACCUGUAGUGAAUGGUCAGUCAGUGGUAUCACCAUUUUAGCAUUGUCAGAGGCCUGUGGAUGCCAGACUGUGGUGACUUGUAGACCAGAGAGCCACUGUGUUAAGCAGGUGGGUGACUAUUAACUUCCUAGGGUCACUGUAACAAAUUACCACAUACUUGCUGGCUUAAAAGAAAUGGAUUCUCUCACAGUUUUGGAGGCUACAAGUCUGAAAUCAAGGUGUUGGCAGGGCAUGCUCCCCUUGAAGGUUCUAGGGAAGAAUCCUUCCUUGACUCUUUCUAGCCACUGGGGGCUCCCAGCUGUCCCUGGCAUUCCAUGGCUCGUAGCCAUGUCAUUGCAUUUUCUGCCUCCCUCUUUAUGUGGCCUUUUUCUCUCUGUGUAUGUCCUCUCCCCUCUUUUUUUUUUUUUUUUUAAGAUUUUAUUUAUUUAUUUGACAGAGAGAAAUUACAAGUACACAGAGAGGCAGGCAGAGAGAGAGAGAAGGAAGCAGGCUCCCUGCUGAGCAGAGAGCCCGAUGCGGGACUCGAUCCCAGGACCCUCGAUCCCAGGACCCUGAGAUCAUGACCUGAGCCGAAGGCAGCGGCUUAACCCACUGAGCCACCCAGGCGCCCCUGUCCUCUCCCCUCUUUAUAAGGACACCAGUCACUGGAUUUGGGCCCCACCCUAAUCCAGUAUGACCUCAUCUAAUUACAGCCACAAAAACUAUUUCCAAAUAAGGUCACAUUCUAAGGUUCUAGAUGAAAUGAAUUUGGGGGAGGUGGGGGACACUUUUCAACCCACUGCAGUGACAUAAGAAAACCAAGUUGAAAAAAACUGAAAUUAACAUGUUUUUUUAACUUUCAUUUUGAAAUAAUUUCAGGCUUACAAAAUACAAGUUGCAAAAAUGGUACAAAGAAUCCCCGUGUAGCCUUCACCCAGAUUUCCCAACUUGCUUCAUCACUCUCUCUCCCUCUGCAUGUGUGUACUGGAUUUUCCGAUACAUUUGAGAGUAAGUUGCAGUCAUGAUGUCCCCUUACCUGUAUUUCACUGUAUACUCCCUAAAAAUAAGGAUCUUUAUCUUCCAUAUCCAUAGUAGGAUUAUCGAAGUCAGGAAAUUAAAAAAAAAUGAUACUGACCUAAUCAAAUAUUACCAGUUUUCCUACCAAUGCCCUUUUCUGGUCCAGGAUCCAAUCUAGAAUCACAUAUUGCCAUUAAUUUACUUUCUUCUGAAAUAGUUCCUCAGUUUGUCUGUCUUUCAUGACCUCGACCUUUUUUGUUUUGAAGAGCUUUAUUUUUUCCAGCAUUAUAGCUUGAUACAUUUCAAACCUCUAAGGAAAAUUAAGAGCAGUAAAAACCAGUACCUUUAUAUUCAUUACCCAAGUUCAUUAGUAAUUAUAUUUUGUUACACACGCAUGAUUUCUCUGGGUAUAUAUAUGUAGCCACAUAUUUUUGUUUUCUGAACCAUUUAAGUUACUUUACCCUUAAAUACUCUAACACAUAUUACCAAAGAUCGAGGACAUUUGCCCCCAUAGCCACAACUCAACUGUCAUCACAGGAAAUUUAACAUUGAUACAAAUAUGUAAUAUACAGUUAUCUUAGAAUUUCCCAGAUUGUUGUAAUUGUUGUUUAUAACUGGGGGUUGGUUGUUUGAUGCAGGGUCCAAAGUUUAUAUAUUGUAUUUAGUUUACUAUCUCCUAAGCUGCAUUAAUCUAGAAAACUCCCCAUGAUUAGAUCCACGUUUAAACAUUUUUUGUAGGCCCACUACAUAGAUGAUACUGUGUUCUCAGUGUAUCACUUAGCAGGCACAUGUCAAUUUGUCCCAUUAUCAUUAAGUUUGGUCAUUUGACUAAAGUGGUGUCUACCAUAGUCCUCCAUUAUAAAGGUACUUUUAAUCUGUACUCUGUGGGGUUAUACAUGAAGACUGAGUGAAUUCCCUGUUCCUUGACAGUUUUUCACCCAUGGCUUUAGCAUCCAUUAAUGGUCUUACUGGAAUCAAGUUUUUGUUUUGUUUUAGGUUUUACUAUAGCAGUUGGAAAAUGGUGGUUUUUCUAUUUCUAGCUGCUUAAACAUUUGUUGGUUGGCAUUCUUCUAUGAAGAGAGCUUUCCCUUCAUCUCUUACUAUUUCAAGUGUCUAUAAGAUCUUAAGAUCUUAAAAAAAAAAAAAAAAUUCCUCUCAUUGUGACGCUGACAUCACCCCAAAUUAGGCCAGUGGAGACUCCUACAGGCUAGCUCCUUUGGCCUUUCGAUAUGUCCCCAUUAGUUUUGGGCAUUAUGUUACUUUCUCGUACAACAAGAUAGUCCAGGUUCACCUUCUACUUUCUCUGCUUCAACCCCGGAACAAGCCAUUCCUCUAAGAACCACAAGUUCCUGUUAGUGAGGGACCAAAUUCUGGCAGAAGGUAAGCUCAUUGCUACUUGGUAUCAUCGUUUCUACGUCUUUUCAUAUGAAACCUCCAAUUCUACUCCAUCACUAUAGAGUUCUUUUGCUCCUUCCUCCCAGGGUAAACCAGGAGCUUUGUAGAAUGCUCUUUAAUUGAGGUCUGCCUGGUGUUUCAUGAUUAGAUUCAGGUUUUGUGUUUUUGGUAGGUGUACAACAGAAGUGAGGUUGUAUCUUCCUUAGUGCAUCAGAUUAGGAGGCCCCUGUCGAUUGGUUUCAUGACUGAUGGUGUUAACUUUGGUCAUCGAUGAAGGUGGUGUCUACCAGUGUUCUCUACUUAAAUGUUACUAGUUCCCCCUUUAAAGUAAUAGAACCUUACAGAAGAGGUGUUUUGAGAUCACAUACAUGCUGUUUUUCAUCAUCAUUCUGCCUACUAAUUUUAGCAUCCACUGAUGUUAGCCUGAAACAUUUAUUGAAAAUGUUUUCUAAUUCCAGCAUUCCUUCCAUAUUUAUUAGUUGGAAUCCCACUAUAAGGAAGAGCUUUCCCUUCUUCAUUUACUCAUUUGUUUAUGUAUAUCAGUGUGUAACCAUCUUGUGGGUCAUAAUCCAUUACCAUCAUUUAUUUUGUUAUAAUUAUCUAAGAUGUGGCCAAUAAGAAUUGCUUUUAAGCUAGUUCCUCUGUCCUUUGAGAUGAAUACUUUUUUUAAAGAUUUAUUUUAGAGAGAGAUAGAGUACACUCAAGGGAGCACAAGUAGGGGAGGGACAGAGAGAGAGGGAGAGACAAUCUCAACCAGACUCCAUGCUGAGCGUGGAGCCCAAUGCAGGGCUCAGUCUAAAGACUCUGAGACCAUGACCUGAGCCAAAAUCAAAAGUGGGCCACUUAACUGACUGAUGAAUAUUUUUAAGACUAUUCUUCACAUAUGUGACUUUCCAAAAUAUUCACAACAUUUGUACGUUCUCUAGGAGUGUGUUAUGAGAAGCCCUUGGGCUGUCUCAUCAGCACUGGCUGUAGAGGAAAUAGAGUGACUUUUAAAGGUCAUGGUCACUACAAUGCCAACGUAUAGGGCUUCUCACGACAGUUUCCUUUUGGCCCAUGACAACCUUCCUCACCCAUGAUCAGCUCCCAUACUCCCAACAGUCUGUCCUUGCCUUACAAGAACAUUUUAGUUUGCAGUAAGAGUUAGCAGUAAGUACUUCCGCCCAUUAGAGGUCACUUUUGGCUAGAUGUGAAAGAUUUCUCUCCAAAUCUCUUACCAGCUGACUGGCAAGUUGUACUCUGAGCACAAUAAGGAUUUGUCUAUUUCCAAAGGAACACUAAUGUCUUUAGAUGUGUCCACUUAAGCCUCAUUUAAAUCCUUAAUCCAGACUUGAAUCCUGGAUGACAACCCGAAGGGUACAUAACUUUGCUAAGUUCUGCUGGGAGAAAAAUAAAGACAGAGAUGCCUGUUUACAUAAGCACUAUGUUUUACAUAUGUUAACUCAUUUCACAUCUUUCAUAAAAACCCUAUGGGGUAUGUUGGGGGGAACUCAUGAAAGGUGAUUUCACCCAGGCAGUAAGUGGCUUAGCCAAGAUUCAAACCCAAAUACUUUGUUCCAGAGUGUGGAUCGAAGUGUGCAUCAACCUGCGUGGCUUUUCUAGAGUCCCACUGUAAUUAAAUCUUUCUAUAUUCAAGCCUGGAAACUUUGGCUUCUUUAUAAAGCAUCAGAGCUCUUUUGGAGAUUAGCGGUGGAUGCUUCUUAUAAGCUGUGUGCCACUGGGAACUAGUCCAGUGGAGGCAUGCCUGUGCCCACACCUGAGUCCAAUGUGACCUCUGUGGCUGCAGGCUGGCCAGGUCCUGGGAUCAACCCCAGGAACCCAGCAGCUUCACCACCACCCCAUUCAGUGUUGCACUCAGACAACCUGAGGCCACCAGUUUGGCCUUUGCCUCCUAGGAGCUGCAGCAUCUGGCUUUGGAAGAAGCUUCAAAUAAUUCUCCAAGGUACUUGAUAAAGUUCUCUACCUCUCCUCCUUGGCAGAGAGGGUGGUGAAAGGGGGCAUGGGUUCUGGUGUUCGAUCAGCCUGCAUCAAAAGCCUGGUGCUCCUGCUCAGUGGCCUUGGGCAGAACUGCUUCGCUCCAUGAGCCUGAGUUCCUUCAUCCCGUGGUAGACGAUGGAGACACUUCCCGGCACACGUGUUGUGAGAAUUAAUGAUGUACGUAAAGGAUGCUGGUGCAGGGUAGGAGGUACUUGGUAGAUUUUACUUUUAUCACUUCCUUAAAAGUAGAGCCCUAUUCCCAAUCCGAGUGACUGACUGAUGUCGUGUCCUAGGUGGCUCUGCCUUUUCCCCAAACACUAGUGCCUCUUUCUGCUGGUUGUUACUCCUUGAGAAAUGAAAACACAUCCCUCCAUGCCGGUGAGUGUCAUCUCUUGUGCCUGGCCUAAUUCUCCAACUAGACUCAAGUCUGGGACUGUCCUUUACACGUUUUCAUAUCCCUAGGCUUUUUUUUUUUUUUUAAGAUAUUUUUUAUUUAUUUGACAGAGAGAGAGAGAGAGAGGUCACAUGUAGUCAGAGAGACAGGCAGAGAGAGAGGAGGAAGCAGGCUCUCUGCUGAGGGGAGAGCCCAAUGCAGGGCUGGAUCCCAGGACCCUGAGAUCAUGACCUGAGCCGAAGGCAGAGGCCUCAACCCACUGAGCCACCCAGAUGCCCCCAUAUCCCUAGGCUUAACCAAGGACCCCAAACAGUAAGUGGUCAGUAAAGGACUGUUGAUGAGAGACUAACAGAAGUUACUUCACAAGGAUUUAUGGAGUGUUUACCAAGUGUCGGGCAACAGGCCAGGCUCUGAGAAGAGUGAGGUGAUUUAAUGCCCAAUCAAAGGAGCUCCUGCUCCGACUAAAAGCUCCUGCUAAGACCUAGAACAGGUAAUGCACCUUUUCGUCCCAGGGAAUGACUUCCUCUGUUGAGGAAAUCUGGUUUACUGUGUCUCAAACAAGAGAUAAAGCCAAGCCCACAGCCCAAAGCCUUUUCACUGUGGAGAGUGCAUAUGAUGGCACUGAGUGCCCAAGGACCCGGGGCCAUUCGGGACCUCACAAGCUGUUUUUGCCACCUGCUCUUUAAGACCAGCCCAGCAGCCCCUGACCUCCAAGGCGAGCACAAGGACACAGCCCAAGCUGUCCUCACCACAAGGGGUCAGUGUAAGACUGCCCAGGCUAGAGAAGUUGGUCAGUGAUGGACUCCCUCCCUGGGAGGGACUCAUUCCAGCCGUGCAGCAUUUGAAUGAUUUGUUCUUGGGUGGAGUGGAUGAAAAGAGAGAGAGUGGGUCAGAAAAACUGAAACUAUCUGUUAAAUUCACAAGUUGCUACAGUAUGAGUUCAAACAAUGUUUGACUAUUUUUAGUGCAAAGACAGGUGAUUUGAGGGUUUUGGAAAACAAAGCACCGUCUGGAAAACCAAGAGAUAAGUGAGGAAAUAUAGUGCAUUAGCAAAAACUUUACUUUUUCAUUUGCAAAAACAAAAUGACUUCCCCUCUCCCCCACCCCCCUCUCAGGAAAAGGAAGGCCUUCAGAAAUUAGAAGAAAUGCAAUUUACUGACCAAGCCUCCCUCUGCAACAGAAAAAAGAACCUUCCCUCUUAUCUGGGUUCAGAACUGGCAAGCAACAUCGGCAUGGGCACUUCAUAAACAUUCACUGACCAAAACGUCGACAGUGCAAAGCAACCAUUCUGUUAUUUCAAGAACCCUUCUAAAAUGCCAGUGAUUGAAGCAGGAUCUUGACUAUCCUUUGCAAAUCUUGAAAAAGAAAAGCCCCAUUCAGCUGGCCACAUGGAAUAAAACAAGCACAGUGGAUUAACCUCUCCUGGAGCUGGGACAUAUUCUCAAAGAGCAGAGCAAACUGAAGCAGUGGGUAGGAUUUUUAAGUGACUACUCCCAAAACAUCCCAAGCAAUGGGGAUUCAGUGCCUCCACCUUGUAGGGGAAAAAAAAACCACCUUACUUCACUUUGCACGGACAUGCAGGCUGUGCCUAUGAACAGAAAUGGCUGAAGCUGGCAUGGGGGAGGGGGGGCGGGUUGGAGGGGGCAGUUGGUUUUAGUCAACGUAAACCAUCCCGAUCGUGAUGUAUCAGUCGAGCUGAAAGACAUUCAGGGAGAACAUGGUGAAACCAAUGGGUUGUUAUGUUGACAGGUCAAGGUCUGCUUGUUUUGGCCCGGUUACACCUGGCCUUGGCCAGUGUGAUCUCGAUAAACAGAAAGGAAUCCACCUCCAUAACCGCAGCCCAGACAGCCUGUGCUGGUGAAGCCGGGGUCUGGCUGAAUUGGACUAGGAUGGCUUGGAGACCUUCCAUCAGAGAGCUGGGCUCUGUCUGCCCCUACAGGACCUCUUCUGCCGGUUCCUUAUAAGAAGUACUCUUCCUGUGUCAGUGGUUGGCUGACGCAGGCGGGAGCAGAGGUGGGGCAGCCGCAACUUGGGUGUGGGCCUGGGCUGUCUUCAGCCUGGAACAGGACAGCUCUAUCUCCUUACACCAGCUUCCCAUCCCCGCCACCAUGCUGCCCCUCCCGCCAUGAGUAGCCCCACAUUUUUCUCAGCAACAGAGGGGUGGUGGGGCGAGUGCCUCCUUCCCAUCCCCCCAGUCCUCCGUGCUGGAUCCAGUUUCACAACACACACACACUCACACACCCCUACAUGAGGAUGGCUAACAGCUGAAGCCCACAUCAGGGCAUCAACCCCCUAGUCAGCCUGGUGAUACCUGCACAGGCAGGGAGUUCCCAGGAAAACUACUUCACUUGACACAGCUUUAGCCCCCUGACCUUGGCCUCAUAUAUAGGCCUCUACUUCUAGUGCCCACCCCUCCCAUCUGCCCCUACUACCACCUCUGACCUUAUCCAAAUCUGCCCUUCCAUUUGUCCCUCAGAUUCUGCUUGACCGUGUAUAUGUGCAAGACAGACCCCUCCUGGGAGAGGUAGACUGUGGCGCUCUCCUCUCAAACCCAAAGACUGGGGAAGGAAAAGAGCAUGAACUGAGUCUUUGCUUUGUGCCAGGAGCUUUAGAAGCAUGAUCUUUCUUCAUCUGGCCCUGCUACCUUAGAGGAAGGCCCCGUUAUUACCAUAAGAGCUGGUGCCAUGUGGAGGUCAAGAGCAGGGAUGCUGCUGCCUGCAUUUCAAGUCUGGGUUUGUAACCUUGGGCAGGUGAUUUGACCUACAGGCCACGUCACCAGGAAAACGAGAAUCAGGUUACUGUGAGCAUUACAUGAGUUAACUCAUGUAAAAAGUGCUAAGAGCAACCCUACAGAAGUGUGAGUCACUGUUAUAUAAUAUCAGCUACUGUGUGUUCAAGAUGAGAAAAUGGAGGCCACACAAGCACGGGCAGAGCCUAGGUUCUGGUGGGCUCCAUACCAGGGCCCUCCCUGCAUUACAUGCUGCUUUGCUUUGAUACUAGUGUGUCACCCCCUUCCAGGGAGAGUUCCCUUUGGCCGACACCCGGAGCCUUAAAAGUGAGUGUGGAAGAGAAACUGGAGAACAGGAGCCACAGAGUCUCGUCUGGGCUCCAGAAGUUGCAUCCCGGGGAGCUGAGAUUACCAGUGACCAGCAGUGCUCCCGUCUGGGCAGGAAGGUCCUGUUGGUUGUGGUUCUGGAGAGGGCUGGCCCUGUCACCUGCUCCUUCCUCUCCUCAGAAGCAGGCUGAGACCCCAGGAUUCCAUCCCUCCUCCUCAUCCCUGCCCUCACCCCCAUCUUAGAAACGGCGUCGUUUUUCCGCAAACUAUGGCAGAUGUUCAAUUUAAACCUAACCCCACCUGCUCCAAAGCACAUAUUCUCUCCCGUGCUUAUCUGGGUCAGUUGCCCCAUGCUGCCCAGACGUCUGUGGGAGACAGACAAAUGAGGCCACAGGGACUGGCCCUCAUGCCUUGGCCUCCACGUGCAGGGGUGGGAGGAAACAGGAAACCAGAGCAAAGGCCAGUGCCGGUGGCAGGCACAUGUAUGUGUCACUUGGUCACCAAAGUAUAAAUCCAGUUGAUGGGAAACUCAUAUCGACUCCCUUCAGCCCCAAAGCAGAAGAGCAUCCAGAGGUGUGUGGGGUCAGGCAAACUACAGUCUCAACAGUGUUUCUGAAGCUUAUAUCAUGCCUUGAAUUGGUACUCUCCCUGUGAGCUUUGUGAUCUCUGAAGCUUUCCGGACCAGGAUUUACAAGGCAAAGAACCCCCACCUCAUAGGCUUUUGCUAGGGCUAACUGCAAUGCCAUAGGCAAAAAUGCCAGGGGCUGGCAUGCGAGAGAGGUUUGUAAAAUGUGAAAUUUCCUAGAUCAGGUAAGAAACCAGGUAUAAUUUCACUUAGUUCCACCCCAGAGAUGGAGUAUCUGGAAAAAGGCUUUCUGCACUCGUGCUGGAAUGUACCUGUCUCUUGUGGGUAGAGAAGCAAGCCUUUAGGUCACUUCUCGGCACUGUGGGUAUCAGAGGCUCGUCUAAGAAAACCCAGUCCUGGAACUAGCAGUUCCCAUGAUGGGUUGUCAACUGCCUUCCUGGGUCCCCCAGGCCUCUGUGACGAGCUGUCCACCUGCCCCUCCACUGUCAGGCCCCCUCUAAGCUUUUCAGGGUCAUGCUCCCUGGUUCCCUCAAAGCAGGAUGAUAUUUGGCACCAGUGGACAAAAUUCUCAGUUGGGCAGUGAAUCCCUAGACGCUUACCAUCCUGCCUGCAUAGGAGGAGGAGAACAGAGAGGGCAUGGAGCAGGAGGGGAGGACACAGGGUGAAAGUUCCAGAAGUCCAGCAACCUUUCACCCCGUCCCAAUGACAGGAAGCUGAAUCUAAAAGGAAACUCCUUAGAUGCCUGGGAAAAAGCUGGUUAGGGAAGUAAAGAGUUACUGGAAUGUUGAAUGCUGUGAAGGAAUCUGUCAGAUGAGAAAGGAAAAGGAAAGUGGUUAUCCAGGACAAAGGGCAUGAGUUUUCAGUCUACUAUUCAUCAUGACCGGAGAGGGACUGUUGACCAGAUUAUUUCAUUCCACAGGUACGGAGGGAAAGACUUGUUACUCUUUUGUGUGCAGUGGGUUCCUCCCCACCUUGUGGACUGUUCUCAUCCUGCAAGGCUGGGGAAACUCAAUUCUAAGCACUCAGUGCGGUGAGAAGGUGAGGGCUUUGAAGCCAGAACACCCGGUUUCAAGCUGUUGCUCCCCUCUGACCCACACGUGACCCUGAGACCUCAAAUUCCUCACCUGAAAAUAAAAGGAAUUGCUACCUCCAGGCUGCAGUGAGCAGUCUUGGGAGAACAUGUGUAAGGAGGCUUCUCAUAAAGAAGGGAACCUCACAGCUACUGGUCACUUGUUCUUUCUUUCUUUUUUUCUUUUUUCUUUUCUAUUUAUUUACUUGAGAGAGAGUGAGAGAGUGAGAGAGAGAGCAUGAGAGGGGAGAGGGUCAGAGGGAGAAGCAGACUCCCCACCAAGCAGGGAUCUUGACGUGGGACCCCAGGCAGUCACCUAACCAACUGAGUGACCCAGGUGCCCUCACUUGUUAUUUCUAAUCUAUAGGAACUCUAACUUCUCUCCAGGCCAACUAGCAUUGUCUCAUUAUCAGCAAAGAGAAAGAUAGCGAUUUAUCAAGGCCUUUUAUCAUCUUUGGGGAUUUAAAGUUUUAAAGCCUGACGAAGAGCCAAGUGCUUUGCUCUCUCACGUGUUCCUCCCCAUACCCAGCAUCUUGCGGGGAACAUGGGCCUUUUUGGGGGAAAGGCCACCAUCAGGCCCCAGCCAGCCCCUGGGGAGCAACAUGGGGGACACUGAGCUCAUACACACUCCCCCUUCCAGUCUAGGGCUGCAGUAGGCACUUUUUUCUUCGUAGUCCACUUGCUCCAUUAAAAUGGUAUCUAAAAUUAAAUUUUAUGACAAAUUGAUAUAAAAAUGGGUACGAUCCAGGCGGGGCCCAUUACUGCAUAUUCAUCAGGAUUACUUUUUAGGAUUUAAUAGAAAUUUACUUUAAAAGAAAUGCAUGCUGAGGAGCACUUUGGGCACUAGGGGGCAGCACGAGCUCACGAGAUGCUUAUGGGGCCCCGGGUGGAGGGGCGGCCUGGUAAAUAAUGGGGAAAGACAGAGCAAUGACUCCCACCGCUGACUCACAAAGGGCUUUUGCUUCUCACAGAGUGUUGUGUUCGCUCCUCACAUCAGCCCCAGGAAGCAGGCGGGUGGGGCUGGAGUUACUGCCCCACUUGGGACAGAGGAGGAAGGCUCACCCUGGGAGGCCCCGUGGGGCGCUGGGUCACACCGUGGCAGAGGCGGGCCCAACUAGAAUUUCCUGGCUCCUCCUGCCAUGCUUCUCUUUCAGAUGUUGAGCUGGGCUGGAUACUGAGCAGACAAGGGUAGGACCAGAAGGCCAAACUCAACCUCCAACCCCCAAGCCUCCCCUGCCACCACUCCUCACCCCCAACUCUCUGGGAAGCAGCAGCCCUCCUGAAUCCAGGCAGAGGAGACCCAACAUUCCAGACCCAGGCCCUACCCCCAAGCUCCCUGGGGGCCAAAUGUGCCUUUGUUCAUUCCCUAGGGCCCGCUGAUCCACUGGCCAGCCAGGAGCAGGCCUCUUAGGUGGGAGAGACAUUCACUCUGCUCCAUGAAGGGUUAAGCAAUGCCAGAAGCAUACAAAAGGCAUUCACUGUGCAAAGGCUAAAGGAAGAAAUAAGCACUAGAGAGGCACCGAGUGCCUGGCAAAGGCACACAGCAGAGAAGGAAAGACCAGAAACAAAAGCAAACAGAGCACAGGCAGGAGAUGAUGGGAUCUUGGAGGCUGCUUUCCCACGUCCCAGGGGGAACACCCAGCCCGUGGCCUGAUGGAGAGCGCCAGCUAUGCUUGAACAAUAGGCCUUUCUCUCUUCUCGGCAGCUAAGCACACACCCAGGAGGAAGAGAGCCUGGCUCGGCGCAGGCCAACUCUGCACUGGGAUCUGGACUGAAGGGGAAGCUAGUUUACAACACAUAAUUUGUGUUCAGUUUCCUUCUUUCAAGGUGAGGGCAGUGCCUGAGUCCAUGUGAUAAAUAAAAGGUAGAUUUCUUUGCUGGACAAGCAGAAAAGGGUUGUUCACUUUUUCAGGGGAAACACGAGAACCCAACUGAAUGGAUGUGGCAAAAGUCCACAGAGUUCCAGAGAGCAUCUUUGUGAUUCAAAGGAGCCAAGAAGGUUCUGGAAACAAGAAGUUCCUGGUAAAGUGUGGCCAGGGCUGAGGCAAGGGGACGCAGCAUUAUGGGGACCCUGGGGGCUCCAGAUGCUCCAAGGACAGAGGUGACAUCCAUCCACCAAACAGCAUCUGUCCUCAAGGUCACCAAAUAGGCAGGAAUCUCUCCCUAUGUCAACAGAGUGACACCAGUACUCGUCUGGCAGGCCCACCUCAUGGAGGAAUGAUGACAGGCUUAUUGCAUGGAUGAAGAGUCACAGUUCAGUUGCUGAGUCUCCACAGUCCAACCCCUGACUUCCCAGGGAUUGGUGGGUAGAGGUGACAGUCCAGCCCAGGUUGGGAGGAGAGGGACUGAAAAACCUGCUCAAGAAAGGACAGGAACCCUCAUCAGAGUGCCAGGGCAUUCAUGAAGCUAUGUAUUCAGUACUCUCCUGGGAGGGAGCAGAUAUGGCAGUUGCGAGCCACGGGGAAAGACUUAUCCAUAGAAGGCUUGCCGCCAGGGGCAGGCUGAGCCAGACCCGCUGUAUUUAAGAACUCCAUGAUAGAGGGUGAUUGACUUUCAGAACUGAAAAGGACUUUUAGGAUAGCUGCUCUGAUCUCCUCACAUUGGCACAGAAAGGGACUUUGGAGGAAACAGAGUCAAAUGCCAAGGUGGCCCAAAAGGAUGGUGUGACUUGCUAAAUGCCCCACAGAACCUCAGGGAACAGGAAGAAGCAGCCCCAGCUUCCUGAUUUAUGGCCCAGAGCUCUUGCUGGUAAAAUGACACUAUCUUGAAAGCAGAAAGUAAAGAGGACCUAGAGGAGUCCUGGGGAGCUGGGUGUUUCAUUGGGCCGAGACUCAUUGGGCCAAGGAUACAAAAUGAACCUUAACUUUGAAGCCAGACUAGAGAAGGAAGUAGGCCACUAAAACACUGCAAUUUAUCAGAGUAGGUGGAAAAUCAAAACGCACAAACCAGCUCAAGAUCACGUGACAAGGGAAGGUUGCUGGGAAGGACUUGUGUGACACAGUGUUUGAGGUUUCUUCCAUCUCCCUGUUCUGAGGGCUGCUGCUCUAAGAGCCUAAGGCUCUGAGGAGCUAGGAAGGAGUCUGUGUGCUGACUUGAGAGGGGAAAUACGGAGGGCUGUGACUCAUGCCCCUGCAGCUUCCCUGGGCCACUCCAGCAGCUCUGAGUCAGCAGCCAUAUCUGAGAUUGGCACCAUUGUUCAAGGCCUUCUAUGGUGACUCAGCAGAAGGGGACAGGACGAUGAAUUGCUCUGCUGGGAGAGGCUGGUCAGCCAGAACCUCCCACCUGUGGCAUCUAGGUCCCUGCUCUGGGAGGAAAGCAGAAGCCUGCUUGCCAUCCUCUGAGGCUCCCAUGGUGCAGGCUGUCGGAGUCUCUGUGGCCCAGCGCAGGGCUGGGUGUUAGCCAUGUCAUUAGAACAAAUUCCAUUUAUUUUUUUGAGGUAAGCAGCCAGUUUUCAUCAAGUACUUAUUAUGCCAAAGAGAAAGGAGCAUGGGGUUUAGAUUUGGAAGACAAUAUAGGAGCACGCCUAUUUCUAUAAUUUCACAGAUGAAGAAACUGAGGUAUGAACAGAUUAUGUGUUUUUUAAAAAAUUUUUUGUUUUGUUUUGUUUAGAUUAUAUACUUUCUCCCAAGAUUACUUAGAGCCUCUUUCCUCAAGGCCACCUUUAUGCUAACUGGUAGGUAAGGGUGCGAGGGCUCUCAGAGAUAAACUUGGGCCUAUCCUAUGGCAGGCAGAAUAAUGCUCCCCACCCUAAGAUGGCCUCCCACUAAUUCCCAGAACCCGUGAAUAUGUUGCUUACAUAGCAAAGAGGACUAUGCAGAGGUGAUUAAGGAUCUUGAGAUAAAAAGUUUAUUCUGGAUUUUCUAGGUGAGUCCAUCGCUGUCAUGAGAGUCUGAGUUGAAGAGGGGCAGGAGAGGCAGAGUCCGAAGGAGAUUGGAAUUUCCUCUGCUGCUGGCUUUGAAGAUGGGGAAGGGGUUUCAAUCCGAGGAGUAUAGGCAGCCUCUAGGAGCUAGACAGGAGAACAGAUUCCUCCCUAGAGCAUCCAGAAGGAACACAGCCCUGCUUCCACCUUGACUUUAGUCCAGAGAAACCCAUUUCUGACCUCCAGAACUCAGAGAAGAAAUUUGUGUCAUUUUUAAGCCACAAAGUUUAUGGUAACAUGUUCCUGCAGCAGUAAAAAACUAAUACAUGCCUACCUUUCCAUCCCACUGCUAUUUAGUCUGUGGCUUUAAGGAAUAGGUUUGAAUACUAAUUUGCCACCCCUUGAUGUCAACUCAGUGAGAUACAAAAAUAAAUGAUUUGGAAAAUUACAGUAAAAA
Molecule: RNA transcript, 17248 nt
Organism: Mustela lutreola (European mink)
Lineage: Eukaryota; Metazoa; Chordata; Mammalia; Carnivora; Mustelidae
Gene: CCNL1
Gene name: cyclin L1
Exons: 13
Source: RefSeq, a predicted model, not a curated record